AUUGAACGCUGGCGGCAGGCCUAACACAUGCAAGUCGAACGAGUGGCGGACGGGUGAGUAAUGUAUGGGAAACUGCCCGAUAGAGGGGGAUAACUACUGGAAACGGUAGCUAAUACCGCAUACUAUCGGAUGUACCCAGAUGGGAUUAGCUUGUAGGUGGGGUAAAGGCUCACCAAGGCGACGAUCCCUAGCUGGUCUGAGAGGAUGAACAGCCAAACUGGGAAGGAGACACGGGCCAGACUCCUACGGGAGGCAGCAGUGGGGAAUAUUGCACAAGGGGCGCAAGCCUGAUGCAGCCAUGCCGCGUGUAUGAAGAAGGCCUUAGGGUUGUAAAGUACUUUCAGCGGGGAGGCGUUACCCGCAGAAGAAGCACCGGCUAACUCCGUGCCAGCAGCCGCGGUAAUUC
Molecule: ribosomal RNA, 406 nt
Filed under: uncultured bacterium
Lineage: Bacteria
Description: partial 16S ribosomal RNA
Rfam family: Bacterial small subunit ribosomal RNA
Source: RNAcentral